This 715-nucleotide long non-coding RNA is filed under the name Brassica napus (rape). RNAcentral's name for it is "long non-coding RNA (BNAP_LNC007878)". Lineage: Eukaryota; Viridiplantae; Streptophyta; Magnoliopsida; Brassicales; Brassicaceae. The record is from RNAcentral.
AAAUGCACACAACACACAAUGGGAUAAGAAGCAAACCUGUGAUUGAACCUUUCAGGGGUUUUGACGGUCCAGACAACUAUAAAGUGUAGGCUCUACCCAAAUAGCCUAACACUUGGAUGUGGACUAACAAUAAAGAAACGUGAACAAGUUCAACAAGUGUUAUCCUAGGUAUAGGUAAUGUAGAUCGGGUAACUUCAUGAGGAAGGGUAACCUAAAAUCCUAACUCUUCACAAGAACCACCAAAGCGUGAAUGAUGCAAAUGUUCCAGGAUGUCCCAAACUUUGACAAUCACAACCAUUCUGUCCUUGCUAGUCACAAGCAUAACGGCUCAAGGUCCUCGAUCUUGAUCUGAUGAAAUGUACACCCAAAAUCAUCCCCAACGACUUACUUAACUCACUUCUUGAAACUGACCUUUGAUCUGCAGCGGUUGGAAAAUAAACGGUCUGCAUGACUUGGUUAACUUCUUCAGCAAUAAUAGCUUCUUUAACAUUCACGUCAUCAUCUAAAAUCUCCUCGAAGCUUUGAAACUCCAUGGUCUUUUAUCUACUCCAAAAUUCUUGGCUAAGUUCCCAAAGAUUUUCUGUGUGAUCUUUGGCUUAUGCUCCAAAUCAUAAUCGAUGAAUCAAAUUCACUCGACCACAUAUCUCAAUGCUAAAAUUGUUGUAUAUGAUUAACUCAACCUCAACCUCCUGGCGGAAACAUCCCACUGUACCAA